UCUGUAUCAAACAGGUCCUGGUAGAAAAGGUGCUGAAACUCCUCCCAGUUGUCCUAGCACCCCGGGAAGUACUAUUGGAAAAGUUAUUCUUCAACCUGGACAAGCCCGAGCGCCAAUAUUUAUAACGCCUUUACGUGAUAUCGCCGUAGUCAGUGGACAAGCAGCGAAAUUCGAAUGUAUCGUACAAUCAGAACCGCCCCCGAAUAUUCUAUGGUCCAAAAACGGACGAAUUAUAGACAACUCGAAUGAUCACCAGUUACAUUACAGAAAUGGUGUUUGCCGUUUGACAAUCUCACAAGCGUAUCCAGAGGACGCAGGAACCUAUUCCUGCACUGCGACGAAUCCUGUGGGCACGGCAAAUACAACUGCAACUCUUCAAGUACCAGGUGAGCGCCGAUCCCAAUAUAUAAAAUAAGAUGGUGGUGGUCUAACAAAAUAGUUUUGUGCACUGCCAAUGUAUAAGCAGUUAUCUGUACGUACUUUUCAUUUCAAUUUUUCAAUUAUCGACUCCGAAGUGCCUUAUUGCUAUAACAAAUUUGUGACAUGAAUCACGUAGUGUUAGUUUUUCCCGCUUCAACGUUUCAGAUAUUUUAUUACGAAAAUACUAAGCUGUAUCAAAGUGUUUCUUGUUAUUUUAAUACAUUAAGGUUAAAGCCUUUAUCAAACUCAUUCUGGUCAUUAUGUACUAGUGUUUAGAGUAUAUGUGUAUAAAUUUAUAUUUGUUACUGACUUUUAUUAUUAUAUUUAUUUAUUUAUUGUGUCUGUUAUAUUGGAUAUUAAAGCUUUUCUGCAUUUA
Molecule: long non-coding RNA, 796 nt
Organism: Anoplophora glabripennis (Asian longhorned beetle)
Lineage: Eukaryota; Metazoa; Arthropoda; Insecta; Coleoptera; Cerambycidae
Exons: 3
Source: RefSeq, a predicted model, not a curated record